RNAcentral lists this ribosomal RNA (427 nucleotides) under uncultured archaeon. RNAcentral describes it as "bacterial SSU rRNA". It matches the Rfam family "Archaeal small subunit ribosomal RNA", at positions 147 to 575 of the family's 1478-position model. The record is from RNAcentral.
UAAUACCGGAUAGAUCAAAGAUACUGGAAUGUUCCUUGAUCCAAAGCUCCGGCGUCCAAGGAUGGAUCUGCGGCCUAUCAGGUAGUAGUGGGUGUAACGUACCUACUAGCCUACGACGAGUACGGGUUGUGAGAGCAAGAGCCCGGAGAUGGAUUCUGAGACAUGAAUCCAGGCCCUACGGGGCGCAGCAGGCGCGAAAUCUUUACAAUGCAGGAAACUGCGAUAAGGGGACCCCGAGUGCCAGCAUCUAAUGCUGGCUGUCCAGCUGUGUAAAUAGCAGUUGUUAGCAAGGGCCGGGCAAGACCGGUGCCAGCCGCCGCGGUAACACCGGCGGCCCGAGUGGUAACCGAUUUUAUUGGGUUUAAAGGGUCCGUAGCCGGCCUGUUAAGUCUCUUGGGAAAUCUGGCGGCUCAAUCGUCAGGCGUCC